RNAcentral lists this long non-coding RNA (279 nucleotides) under Cervus hanglu yarkandensis (Yarkand deer). Its description in RNAcentral is "lncRNA (ENSCHYG00000005298.1)". The record is from RNAcentral. Lineage: Eukaryota; Metazoa; Chordata; Mammalia; Artiodactyla; Cervidae.
CGGGACUUCCGUUCAGAUUGUUGCUCUUCUGUCCUGCUACUCCGUCGGUCGCGGGCGGACGGACCUGGUUGUUGGACUGUGGCUGGUGUCCAGGGGGCUCCUCAGGCCCGCGGAAACGGGAAUGGAAAGAUGGCUCAUCUCCAGCUGGUGGCCAUGCUAAGAUGCGCCUGGUUUGAGGGACCUGCUUCCUUAUUCUCAGACAGCUGUACCCCUCAGAUCCUGUGAUUCCACCUCAGGUAAACUCUGGGCACACAGGUGACUCUGAGAUCCUGGCCACAG